RNAcentral lists this ribosomal RNA (445 nucleotides) under uncultured Bacteroidota bacterium. RNAcentral's name for it is "bacterial SSU rRNA". It matches the Rfam family "Bacterial small subunit ribosomal RNA", at positions 79 to 524 of the family's 1533-position model. The record is from RNAcentral. Lineage: Bacteria; Pseudomonadati; Bacteroidota.
UUCGGACAGUGGAGACCGGCGCACGGGUGCGUAACACGUAUACACCUACCUUUUACCGGGGGAUAGCUCAAAGAAAUCUGAAUUAAUACCCCAUAAUAUUACACUUUGGCAUCAUUGUGUGAUUAAAGCUCCGGCGGUAAUUGAUGGGUAUGCGUUGCAUUAGCUAGUUGGUAAGGUAACGGCUUACCAAGGCUACAAUGCAUAGGGGGUCUGAGAGGAUGAUCCCCCACACUGGUACUGAGACACGGACCAGACUCCUACGGGAGGCAGCAGUACGGAAUAUUGGGCAAUGGACGAGAGUCUGACCCACCCAUGCCGCGUGCACGAUGACGGUCCUAUGGAUUGUAAACUGCUUUUAUAUGAGAAGAAACCCUUGGAUGCGUCCGAGGCUGACGGUAUCAUAUGAAUAAGGAUCGGCUAACUUCGUGCCAGCAGCCGCGGUAAG